GGGUUGUGAGGUUAAGCGACUAAGCGUACACGGUGGAUGCCCUGGCAGUCAGAGGCGAUGAAGGGCGUGCUAAUCUGCGAUAAGCGCCGGUAAGGUGAUAUGAACCGUUAUAACCGGCGAUACCCGAAUGGGGAAACCCAGUGUGAUUCGUCACACUAUCAUUAACUGAAUCCAUAGGUUAAUGAGGCGAACCGGGGGAACUGAAACAUCUAAGUACCCCGAGGAAAAGAAAUCAACCGAGAUUCCCCCAGUAGCGGCGAGCGAACGGGGAGGAGCCCAGAGCCUGAAUCAGCAUGUGUGUUAGUGGAAGCGUCUGGAAAGGCGCGCGAUACAGGGUGACAGCCCCGUACACAAAAGCGCAUGUGCUGUGAGCUCGAUGAGUAGGGCGGGACACGUGGUAUCCUGUCUGAAUAUGGGGGGACCAUCCUCCAAGGCUAAAUACUCCUGACUGACCGAUAGUGAACCAGUACCGUGAGGGAAAGGCGAAAAGAACCCCGGCGAGGGGAGUGAAAAAGAACCUGAAACCGUGUACGUACAAGCAGUGGGAGCACCCUUUGGGGUGUGACUGCGUACCUUUUGUAUAAUGGGUCAGCGACUUAUAUUCUGUAGCAAGGUUAACCGAAUAGGGGAGCCGGAGGGAAACCGAGUCUUAAUUGGGCGUUAAGUUGCAGGGUAUAGACCCGAAACCCGGUGAUCUAGCCAUGGGCAGGUUGAAGGUUGGGUAACACUAACUGGAGGACCGAACCGACUAAUGUUGAAAAAUUAGCGGAUGACCUGUGGCUGGGGGUGAAAGGCCAAUCAAACCGGGAGAUAGCUGGUUCUCCCCGAAAGCUAUUUAGGUAGCGCCUCGUGAAUUCAUCUCCGGGGGUAGAGCACUGUUUCGGCUAGGGGGUCAUCCCGACUUACCAACCCGAUGCAAACUGCGAAUACCGGAGAAUGUUAUCACGGGAGACAC
Molecule: ribosomal RNA, 955 nt
Filed under: Salmonella enterica
Lineage: Bacteria; Pseudomonadati; Pseudomonadota; Gammaproteobacteria; Enterobacterales; Enterobacteriaceae
Description: partial 23S ribosomal RNA
Rfam family: Bacterial large subunit ribosomal RNA
Source: RNAcentral